This 491-nucleotide ribosomal RNA is filed under the name uncultured bacterium. RNAcentral describes it as "partial 16S ribosomal RNA". It matches the Rfam family "Bacterial small subunit ribosomal RNA", at positions 29 to 506 of the family's 1533-position model. The record is from RNAcentral.
AGUGAACGCUGGCGGUAGGCCUAACACAUGCAAGUCGAACGGCAGCACAGUAAGAGCUUGCUCUUACGGGUGGCGAGUGGCGGACGGGUGAGGAAUACAUCGGAAUCUACUUUUUCGUGGGGGAUAACGUAGGGAAACUUACGCUAAUACCGCAUACGACCUACGGGUGAAAGCAGGGGAUCUUCGGACCUUGCGCGAUUGAAUGAGCCGAUGUCGGAUUAGCUAGUUGGCGGGGUAAAGGCCCACCAAGGCGACGAUCCGUAGCUGGUCUGAGAGGAUGAUCCGCCCCACUGAAACUGAGACACGGCCAAGACUCCUAGGGGGGGCAGAGGGGGGGAAUUUUGGAAAAUGGGGGCAAGCCUGAUCCAGCCAUCCCGGGGGGGUGAAGAAGGCCUUGGGGUUGUAAAGCCCUUUUGUUGGGAAAAAAAAGCAGCAGGUUAAUCCCCCGCUGUUCUGACGGUACCCAAAGAAAAAGCACCGGCUAACUUCGU